CCUACGGGAGGCAGCAGUCGAGAGGCUUCGGCAAUGGGGGAAACCCUGACCGAGCGACGCCGCGUGGGGGAUGAAGGCCCUUGGGUUGUAAACCCCUUUUGUUCGGGAAGAAGUGCGAUCAGGUGAACAAUCUGGUCGUUUGACGGUACCGGACGAAUAAGCUCCGGCUAACUCCGUGCCAGCAGCCGCGGUAAUACGGGGGGAGCAAGCGUUGUUCGGAAUCACUGGGCGUAAAGGGCGUGUAGGCGGUCAGGUAAGUAAGACGUGAAAUGCCUCGGCUCACCCGAGGAGCGGCGUCUUAUACUGCUUGGCUUGAGUAUGGGAGAGGUUGUGGGAAUUCCUGGUGUAGCGGUGAAAUGCGUAGAUAUCAGGAGGAACACCGGUGGCGAAGGCGCACAACUGGCCCAAUACUGACGCUGAUGCGCGAAAGCUAGGGGAGCAAACGGGAUUAGAUACCCCUGUAGUC
Molecule: ribosomal RNA, 466 nt
Filed under: uncultured Latescibacterota bacterium
Lineage: Bacteria; Pseudomonadati; Candidatus Latescibacterota
Description: bacterial SSU rRNA
Rfam family: Bacterial small subunit ribosomal RNA
Source: RNAcentral